This 578-nucleotide long non-coding RNA is filed under the name Mytilus galloprovincialis (Mediterranean mussel). Lineage: Eukaryota; Metazoa; Mollusca; Bivalvia; Mytilida; Mytilidae. The record is from RNAcentral.
GGCUGAUAAACAUAAGAGGGUCUAGAUUAAGUUUGAAGAAUAGAGAGAAAUUGGCAAAAAGGCAGAUUAAAGGAGAAAAAAUCAAUAGAGAAUAAUAAGGUGCUGAAAUAUACAAAAAAAAAAAAAAUAGAGAAAAGAAUGCUAAACUAAAGAAGAAAAGAGAAAAAUUGUGGCCUUCAAAUUUAAAGAAUUCAGAAAUUGAGGACCCCAUGCAUCCAGACCCUAAUAUAAUGUGAACUCUGUUUACCAACUGGACAAUAUAAAUACAUGAACACUAUAUAGUAAAUUUCGCAGGAACACUUUACAGCACGUUUAACAUCAGGGUUUAUUUCGACCGGCAGACGAUGGACAUGAAAACUUUCGCUGUGUUGGUUAUAUUUCUUACCAUGCCAUUUAUGUCUAUCCAGACUGAGACUGAAUGUGAAACAGGAGAUUGUCUGUAUGAAGGACAAUGCUGGGAAAACUAUCGAGGAAUACAAACAACCGUCGAAAGGAAUGUCCGUACCGGAUGUCUGAAAGUUCUUGUCUGCGAUGAAGGAGUCGUCAAAGUACGGAAUGUUUGUAAACAUUGAUGUAAG